RNAcentral lists this ribosomal RNA (497 nucleotides) under uncultured bacterium. RNAcentral describes it as "partial 16S ribosomal RNA". It matches the Rfam family "Bacterial small subunit ribosomal RNA", at positions 28 to 507 of the family's 1533-position model. The record is from RNAcentral.
GAUGAACGCUGGCGGCGUGCCUAAUACAUGCAAGUCGAGCGACCAGACGAGGAGCUUGCUCCUCUGACGUUAGCGGCGGACGGGUGAGUAACACGUGGAUAACCUACCUAUAAGACUUGGAUAACUUCGGGAAACCGGAGCUAAUACCGGAUAAUAUAUUGAACCGCAUGGUUCAAUAGUGAAAGACGGUUUUGCUGUCACUUAUAGAUGGAUCCGCGCCGCAUUAGCUAGUUGGUAAGGUAACGGCUUACCAAGGCAACGAUGCGUAGCCGACCUGAGAGGGUGAUCGGCCACACUGGAACUGAGACACGGUCCAGACUCCUACGGGAGGCAGCAGUAGGGAAUCUUCCGCAAUGGGCGAAAGCCUGACGGAGCAACGCCGCGUGAGUGAUGAAGGUCUUCGGAUCGUAAAACUCUGUUAUUAGGGAAGAACAAAUGUGUAAGUAACUAUGCACGUCUUGACGGUACCUAAUCAGAAAGCCACGGCUAACUACGUG